GUGCUCAAUUUGGCAGCACAUAUAUUAAAAUUGGAACAAUACAGAGAAGAUUACCAUGGCCCCUGUGCAAGGAUGACAUGCAAAUUCAUGAAGCAUUCCAUAUUUUU
This is a small nuclear RNA of Spermophilus dauricus (Daurian ground squirrel), 107 nucleotides long. Lineage: Eukaryota; Metazoa; Chordata; Mammalia; Rodentia; Sciuridae. The record is from Ensembl.